This 84-nucleotide transfer RNA is filed under the name Veillonella criceti. RNAcentral describes it as "tRNA-Ser(cag)". It matches the Rfam family "tRNA". From Rfam's summary of the family: Transfer RNA (tRNA) molecules are approximately 80 nucleotides in length. Their secondary structure includes four short double-helical elements and three loops (D, anti-codon, and T loops). Further hydrogen bonds mediate the characteristic L-shaped molecular structure. tRNAs have two regions of fundamental functional importance: the anti-codon, which is responsible for specific mRNA codon recognition, and the 3' end, to which the tRNAs corresponding amino acid is attached (by aminoacyl-tRNA synthetases). tRNAs cope with the degeneracy of the genetic code in two manners: having more than one tRNA (with a specific anti-codon) for a particular amino acid; and 'wobble' base-pairing, i.e. permitting non-standard base-pairing at the 3rd anti-codon position. The record is from RNAcentral. Lineage: Bacteria; Bacillati; Bacillota; Negativicutes; Veillonellales; Veillonellaceae.
GCGGUUGUGGUGGAAUGGCAGACACGCUGUCUUCAGGUGGCAGUGCUUUCGAGCGUGCGGGUUCAAGUCCCGCCAACCGCACCA